Molecule: long non-coding RNA, 1015 nt
Filed under: Marmota monax (woodchuck)
Lineage: Eukaryota; Metazoa; Chordata; Mammalia; Rodentia; Sciuridae
Source: RNAcentral
CACACGAGCUUUUGGGGAACACCUGAUAUCUAAGUUAUAAUAGUCACUCAUUGGCAUUUACACUAAGGCCUUGUUCUAAAUGAUUUUCCUGAAAUACCAAUUUAAGCCACAAUUCAAGAAUCAUAAAAAACUCUCAUCUAGAGUAAAGCCAGGGACAGCAGGAUGACACACAGAGUUUAAGAAAUUUGCUCUGUAACAGAGUAGUUGGCUGUUGAAGAUCUGGGAUCUUUGCUUCCAAUGCUAAGCUCUUGACAGCUCUUGACACCUCUCCAUUGCAUGGAGUGGUUUCCCGGGGACACACACACAAUUACUUAAUCUUUUAUUUGGGUGACUCCACAGUAUUGCCCCAUCUCCCUCUUCAGUGACCUCCAACUAAUUUCCUACACAUAUUAUCUUGAAACUAAACUGCACUCUCAACCCUUCUUGGAUGUGAUAUGUCCAUCUUUUUGUGGGCUAGGUAGUGUCCCACCAAUCUGCAUGUGGAAUUUCUGCUUCCAUUUUAUAUUAUUAUAACUCUUUACACACAGUUGUAUAGAUGAAGGGAUUUCACUGUGGAAUUACCAUAGAUGGGUAGGUAUAUUGAGCUUUGAUCAUUUCCAUGGUUUCUGUUACCACCAUCAUCCUUUAUUAUUAUUCUUUGUCCACUUUCAGGUCAUCUUUAUUAUUAUUAUUAUUAUUGUUUUUGAACACAUGAGAGGAAACAAGUAAUUCUUGUCUUUCUAUGCCUGGCUUAUCUUGUUUAACAUGAUGUUCUUCAGUUCCAUCCAUUUUCUUGCAAACAACAGGGUUUUGUUCUUCUUAUGGUUGAAUGACCCUCCAUUGUGUGUAUAUAUCACACGUAUUCUUUAUCUGUUCAUCUUUUGACAGGCACCCAGGCUGAUUCCCUGACUCCAUAUCCUAGCUCUUGUGCAUCGUGCCACAUUGAGCAUCGAUGUUCAUGUGUCUCUUUUGUAUGCUGACUUCAUUUUCUUUAAAUAUACACCCAGGAGUGGUGUGGCCAGAUCAUGGGGUAGUU